Non-coding RNA from Cinara cedri, 231 nucleotides. Lineage: Eukaryota; Metazoa; Arthropoda; Insecta; Hemiptera; Aphididae. The record is from the annotation of a GenBank genome assembly.
AUCAAAUUGAAAAAAAAAACUUGUGUUCAGACAAAACGCGUGUUUCCAAGCCCGGUGGAUUUUUGUGGGAUUUGUUUUUGACUUCCUUAAUUAUUUAUUUUUUAUUUCAAUAUUUUCAUUUGAAUCACUUUACUUUUAUCGUUUAUAUUGUUCGUGUUGUUAAUUAUAAUGGAUGAAAACCAAACAUUACAAUUUAUUGAAACAGAGAAAGUGGCUAAAAUUGUAUGGGAC